RNAcentral lists this ribosomal RNA (497 nucleotides) under uncultured bacterium. RNAcentral describes it as "partial 16S ribosomal RNA". It matches the Rfam family "Bacterial small subunit ribosomal RNA", at positions 28 to 507 of the family's 1533-position model. The record is from RNAcentral.
GAUGAACGCUGGCGGCGUGCCUAAUACAUGCAAGUCGAGCGAACGGACGAGAAGCUUGCUUCUCUGAUGUUAGCGGCGGACGGGUGAGUAACACGUGGAUAACCUACCUAUAAGACUGGGAUAACUUCGGGAAACCGGAGCUAAUACCGGAUAAUAUUUUGAACCGCAUGGUUCAAAAGUGAAGGACGGUCUUGCUGUCACUUAUAGAUGGAUCCGCGCUGCAUUAGCUAGUUGGUAAGGUAACGGCUUACCAAGGCAACGAUGCAUAGCCGACCUGAGAGGGUGAUCGGCCACACUGGAACUGAGACACGGUCCAGACUCCUACGGGAGGCAGCAGUAGGGAAUCUUCCGCAAUGGGCGAAAGCCUGACGGAGCAACGCCGCGUGAGUGAUGAAGGUCUUCGGAUCGUAAAACUCUGUUAUUAGGGAAGAACAUAUGUGUAAGUAACUGUGCACAUCUUGACGGUACCUAAUCAGGAAGCCACGGCUAACUACGCG